AAAAAUUCAAUGCAACUCAAAACCUUUUUCCAAGUCUUUGCUGGCUCCACAAAGCACGUGUACUAGAAUGCUUGCUUGUGUUCAGUUUCAUUCAACUGCAAGUUGCAUGUUAUAGCGCCACACGGCUCAUAAUGUUUAAACUGCAUUUGUAUUGUUCAGAUUACUCGAGAGUGUUCUUUGGAAGCUAUUGUGUUUUUUCUUUUCAUAAUUCUCCAAUACUGCAUAUGUAACCCUCAAAUAAUUUGACAAGAAAAUUUGUUUAUUAGUCUUCCUCAUCGUUGUAUCAUCCCCAGCUUUUGUCUUCUUCUCAAAUAGCAAUGGAUAUAAACUAAGGAUGAACUAGCAAGAAGAUAAUAAUAAUAACAAGUUGCCUUCGGCCUGGAAGGGCAACAACUUAAACAAAUGAUAUUCUUCUUGUUCCAUGGACAUUUUAGUAUGGACGUUUUGUUAAUGUGAAUCAUUUUAGAGAUAAUUAUAUCAAUACAAUACUAAAAGGGGAAUAAGAGCUCCUCUCAUGCUGUCCACAUCAGCAAAUAAAAUCAACCAAUGAGAGACUUCUAAACUGACAAGUCAAUUAAAAAAAAAACACAUCACCAAAUCACUCUUCGCUCGAACCUUUUCAACGCCACGCCGAUUCCAAUAUUUCUUUGGUCUUCUUCCGGUUUGUCUGCCUUUGCCAAAACAACUCUUUCACCAGUUACAAAUUAUUUAUUCCUUAAUCUUUUCAGCUUUCCUCCUCUCCUUACUCACUAUAUGAGACGUAGGUAGAUUCACGAAAGAUUCUUCUCACUAGAACCAGCAGAUCUCUUCAUCGCCUCUGGAGAAAACGAGUAGUUAGUACUGGCGUUUGGUUUUGGUUCCAUCACUUUACCUCUGUAUACAGUUUUCUGUAAAAAUAUUUACUCCUUCAUAUUUGGUAAGUCACACAACGCCUUGCUCCUGUACGUACAAAGCAUCACUUAACAUCUGUACAGUUUUCUUUGAAAAGCGUUCGUGGGAGUUGUAUGUGAUCUCUUUUUGUUUGUCUUUUAUCAUAUUGUGAGAUUGUUAGGAACGAAGAAGAAGAAGCCGUUGAAAGAAUUGAGGGAGAUGGAGGAGUUCGAGUUCCAUAACUGGUGGAGCUUACGGUUGAGAAUUCUAUGAUUACGGUUAAUGUUUCCCACUUUUGAUUCAUGAUUUCACUUCCUCUGUUUCAGAUCGUUGGUUUUGUUUUUGAAAGCUCUUGAUCUGGUGUUUAGAUUGUUGGAGGUGUAAAAGGAGGAGAAUGAGCUUUACAGGAGAGGAUUCGCCAUCUGGUUUGUCAGGUUUUGUAAUUCUCAAUCUUAGUUUUGAUAAAUAAAACAAUCCAAACCGAGUUUGAGCAGUUCAAUUUCAGUUUGUUUGCUUUGUUUCUCUUAUAAAAGCUGUGGUAUUUUGUAGAGUUUGUUAUACUUAUAGCUUUAAAGUUUUUGGUCUCUAAUUUCAAAAUUUGCAUUUAUACAACUAUUGACCUCUAAACGCAUCAGAACCAUACCAUUUGUUUCUUUUCCCUUCCUUCUACCCUUACGUUAUCUAUUUUUACGUGUUUCAGGGACCAACUGAAAAUGGGAAAUUGAUGCUCAAUAUAUAUAUCUGCAUAGCGCAAGAACGAGCAAGCCCGGCUUCAUCUGGUCAUCACUUUGUCUUCCAAUGCUAUGAUCAUUUCCAAGGUAUAACCUUUGCUUCAAUCUGAGAGUCGACGCCAUCACAUGUAGCAUUACAUGAGUCAUCCCUGGUAUCGUCCCGUUAUCUAGAAAAGUUACUUUGUUUAAUUUAAACUGAUUUGUGUGAUUUUGUAGUUAAUUUUUUUUUCUUAUCCUUAUAGCUCACACUUUGGUAUGUUGACGAGUUUAUCUUCCGUGAAUUCUUUUAUUGAUUCUUUCAAUGGUGUUCGUAUGUUAUUCUUUACGUUCGUCCCCUGCAGCUAAUGAUGGCUUUGACUGUUCACUUAGUGAACUGAAGCAAAAGAAUAAGCCAGUUGAACCAAGCUCAUUGAAUAAGUCUCGCUGCUGCAGAAGAUUUGGAUGAGCAUGCUAAUGAAGAUUAAAUUAUUUGGCAGCAGCAAUGUCACCCCUGUGAGGGAAGUUAAAUAUAUGACGGUGGAGUAGAUGGUUUUUUUGCAUUAAACCAUCGGUUAUUUGAUGAUGUUCUCUCAUUAUCAAAAACCUGUUAGCAGAUUGAUUUUUGAUGUGAUGUCUAUUUGCAGCUUCUUAGUAGAGUCUUUAACAUUCUCCAUGAAAAAAAAUCCAGAGCUUGCUGGAGAUAGGUGCUGUACAGUUAUCAGGCCUCCUUAAGUUCUUUGCAGGGGACAAAAAGAAGAGUAUGUUUGCCAACUUUAUGGACCUCUUCAAAAAGUAUGAACAAAUCUCUUUUAUCUUCCUCUUCAAGCUUGAUCGACCGUAAGUAUUCAUGCCUAUUGCCUAGGGGGAUUUAAGAUUGUAUGGCAUUUCUGUCUAUCUCUGCUAAACAAAAAAAAUUCAGGAUGACUCAUAAACCAGGCCAUGUAAUGAAUUUCUUGCAUGAUGGGCGGCAACUGUUGGUUGUUAAGGGAAGAUAUGCAGCCAAGAAUUCCGAAGAGAUCUUGCUGCCAUAUCAGCAAGUAACUUUCUCUUUUUGUCACUUCCUAUCAAGUUUUGAAAUUUGAAUUUGCAUAAACGAAUACCAGGUUGGAGUUCUUUGUGAAACCUUGCAUGUGGUUUUCUUAAAUGAGUACGUCAUUUGCUUUGGUAGCGAGAGCCAGUACAUGAUUCUAUAGAAGGAGAACAAUCACUUCUUUGUCAGCUGCGGGUAGGUUUCAUUCAUUACUUUGUCAUGCAUGCCUUUGUUUCUUCCUUUCAGCGCAACUAAGUAAUCAUGAAUUGCUUCCAGAUCCUAAAGGACUGUUUCUUAACUCGUGGGCAGCGAGAUGGUUUAAAACUUUAAGUUCAUUGACAAAAACGCAUAAGAAAUAUACAAUUUAUGUAUAGAAAUAUUAUAUUCUAGAGAUUACAAUAAGUAAAAACUGUAUUACAUCGCCCUGCAUAAGAUGUAAGAGCGGUGAGCGGAGUAGAGGAAAACAAAAUAAUAGACAUAUAUAUCAAAGACCUCUCCUUUCAUGUUUAUACUACGGCAACAUAUAUAUAUAUAAAUUUCAACUACAUCCAAAUCAUCUACAUCAUAAAUUUUAUAGCUAAACUUAUAUAGUUACAGUCCAAUCAGUUAUCUGUAUUCUCUGUAGAACCUCAACUCUUC
Molecule: long non-coding RNA, 3249 nt
Organism: Brassica napus (rape)
Lineage: Eukaryota; Viridiplantae; Streptophyta; Magnoliopsida; Brassicales; Brassicaceae
Exons: 3
Source: RefSeq, a predicted model, not a curated record